Molecule: transfer RNA, 86 nt
Filed under: bacterium YEK0313
Lineage: Bacteria
Description: tRNA-Ser
Source: RNAcentral
UAGGUAUAGCCGGCCGGCGCGGUGCGGCUGUCGAUCGGCCGGACCGGCGCCGUCGCGCUCGGCACGUUCCAGUCGAGCAUGCGCGC